CCAUUCAUGCAAAUGACUUCCAUAUAUUAAUGAAGCGUUCUGAACCCUAUCCCCCUUCUCUGUGCAUCGUUGCUCCAGAUUGGGCAGCGACUGCGAGUUUGCCCAUGAUGUACCGAAGGCGAAGCAGCACCAACAGCACCAGCAUCUUCCGCAAUCUUUCUGCCCUAUCGUGACCUUCUGGUUUGUGGGUGGGCCGUCGUCAUCAACGCUUCCUCUCAGCUGGUGCGAGGCGGUCCCGCCGAGACGCACAUCAUACACACCGACGCCUUGGAACGGGGGACAUGCAAUGUGGAAGUCCUGCCGGGAGCCGAGCUAAUGUUAGCUUGUUGUUGUUGAUGUUCUUUGUUGUUGUUGUUGUUGUUGUUGUUGUAGUAUGAAUGGCGUGUACCAGCAUGCGCUGCUUAGGCGAUGUGCAUGUGUGUGUGCGUCGGAUGUUUUGUAACAAACCAGGCGUCGGCUCUCAUUCUAGUCAGAGAUCAUUCUAGGGUUGUCAAAAGAAGACAUGGCUGAAGGAAAGUCUGAUCAUAUUCAAAUGCAUUCCAUUCAUAAGAAGAACCUCGUAGUCCAAGUCUCAUUAUUCAAAGACUCAGGCUUCUGGAAGCCGUCGUGGCAUUUAGAUAAUUGAUGGUGACUUUGAAGCGUGCUGUUUAUAAUGAACCUGUGUGCGCGCUGUU
Molecule: long non-coding RNA, 674 nt
Organism: Gadus macrocephalus (Pacific cod)
Lineage: Eukaryota; Metazoa; Chordata; Actinopteri; Gadiformes; Gadidae
Exons: 2
Source: RefSeq, a predicted model, not a curated record